GAUGAAGAACGUAGCGAAAUGCGAUAAGUAGUGUGAAUUGCAGAAUUCAGUGAAUCAUCGAAUCUUUGAACGCACAUUGCACCCCUUGGUAUUCCGUGGGGCAUGCCUGUUCGAGCGUCAUUUGUACCUUCGAGCUCUGCUUGGUGUUGGGUGUUUGUCUCGCCUCUGCGUGUAGACUCGCCUCAAAACAAUUGGCAGCCGGCGUAUUGAUUUCGGAGCGCAGUACAUCUCGCGCUUUGCACUCAUAACGACGACGUCCAAAAGUACAUUUUUACACUCAUGACCUCGGAUCAGGUAGGGAUACCCGCUGAACUUAAGCAUAUCAAUAAGCGGAGGA
Molecule: unclassified non-coding RNA, 337 nt
Filed under: soil metagenome
Description: partial contains 5.8S ribosomal RNA, internal transcribed spacer 2, and large subunit ribosomal RNA
Rfam family: 5.8S ribosomal RNA (bases 1-120)
Source: RNAcentral